AUUGAACGCUGGCGGCAGGCUUAACACAUGCAAGUCGAACGGUAGCAGGAGAAAGCUUGCUUUCUUGCUGACGAGUGGCGGACGGGUGAGUAAUGCUUGGGAAUCUGGCUUAUGGAGGGGGAUAACGACGGGAAACUGUCGCUAAUACCGCGUAUUAUCGGAAGAUGAAAGUGCGGGACUGAGAGGCCGCAUGCCAUAGGAUGAGCCCAAGUGGGAUUAGGUAGUUGGUGGGGUAAAUGCCUACCAAGCCUGCGAUCUCUAGCUGGUCUGAGAGGAUGACCAGCCACACUGGAACUGAGACACGGUCCAGACUCCUACGGGAGGCAGCAGUGGGGAAUAUUGCGCAAUGGGGGGAACCCUGACGCAGCCAUGCCGCGUGAAUGAAGAAGGCCUUCGGGUUGUAAAGUUCCUUCGGUAUUGAGGAAGGUUGAUGUGUUAAUAGCACAUCAAAUUGACGUUAAAUACAGAAGAAGCACCGGCUAACUCCGUGCCAGCAGCCGCGGUAAUACGGAGGGUGCGAGCGUUAAUCGGAAUAACUGGGCGUAAAGGGCACGCAGGCGGUUAUUUAAGUGAGGUGUGAAAGCCCUGGGCUUAACCUAGGAAUUGCAUUUCAGACUGGGUAACUAGAGUACUUUAGGGAGGGGUAGAAUUCCACGUGUAGCGGUGAAAUGCGUAGAGAUGUGGAGGAAUACCGAAGGCGAAGGCAGCCCCUUGGGAAUGUACUGACGCUCAUGUGCGAAAGCGUGGGGAGCAAACAGG
RNAcentral lists this ribosomal RNA (759 nucleotides) under Haemophilus influenzae. RNAcentral describes it as "bacterial SSU rRNA". It matches the Rfam family "Bacterial small subunit ribosomal RNA", at positions 28 to 776 of the family's 1533-position model. The record is from RNAcentral. Lineage: Bacteria; Pseudomonadati; Pseudomonadota; Gammaproteobacteria; Pasteurellales; Pasteurellaceae.